RNAcentral lists this ribosomal RNA (468 nucleotides) under uncultured bacterium. RNAcentral's name for it is "partial 16S ribosomal RNA". It matches the Rfam family "Bacterial small subunit ribosomal RNA", at positions 28 to 507 of the family's 1533-position model. The record is from RNAcentral.
GACGAACGCUGGCGGCGUGCUUAACACAUGCAAGUCGAACGGAAAGGCCCUGCUUUUGUGGGGUGCUCGAGUGGCGAACGGGUGAGUAACACGUGAGUAACCUGCCCUUGACUUUGGGAUAACUUCAGGAAACUGGGGCUAAUACCGGAUAGGAGCUCCUGCUGCAUGGUGGGGGUUGGAAAGUUUCGGCGGUUGGGGAUGGACUCGCGGCUUAUCAGCUUGUUGGUGAGGUAGUGGCUUACCAAGGCUUUGACGGGUAGCCGGCCUGAGAGGGUGACCGGCCACAUUGGGACUGAGAUACGGCCCAGACUCCUACGGGAGGCAGCAGUGGGGAAUAUUGCACAAUGGGCGGAAGCCUGAUGCAGCAACGCCGCGUGCGGGAUGACGGCCUUCGGGUUGUAAACCGCUUUCGCCUGUGACGAAGCGUGAGUGACGGUAAUGGGUAAAGAAGCACCGGCUAACUACGUG